Molecule: ribosomal RNA, 482 nt
Filed under: uncultured bacterium
Lineage: Bacteria
Description: partial 16S ribosomal RNA
Rfam family: Bacterial small subunit ribosomal RNA
Source: RNAcentral
AUUGAACGCUGGCGGCAUGCCUUACACAUGCAAGUCGAACGGUAACGGGCCUUCGGGUGCCGACGAGUGGCGAACGGGUGGGUAAUACAUCGGAACGUGCCCGAUCGUGGGGGAUAACGAGGCGAAAGCUUUGCUAAUACCGCAUACGAUCUACGGAUGAAAGCAGGGGACCGCAAGGCCUUGCGCGGACGGAGCGGCCGAUGGCAGAUUAGGUAGUUGGUGGGAUAAAAGCUUACCAAGCCGACGAUCUGUAGCUGGUCUGAGAGGAUGAUCAGCCACACUGGGACUGAGACACGGCCCAGACUCCUACGGGAGGCAGCAGUGGGGAAUUUUGGACAAUGGGCGCAAGCCCGAUCCAGCCAUGCCGCGUGCAGGAUGAAGGCCUUCGGGUUGUAAACUGCUUUUGUACGGAACGAAAAGCCUUCUUUUAAUACAGGAGGGUCAUGACGGUACCGUAAGAAUAAGCACCGGCUAACUACGUG